This is an RNA transcript of Odobenus rosmarus divergens (Pacific walrus), 1014 nucleotides long. It is a transcript of the gene named armadillo repeat-containing protein 10-like, with no coding region annotated. The transcript has a single exon. Lineage: Eukaryota; Metazoa; Chordata; Mammalia; Carnivora; Odobenidae. The record is from RefSeq and is a predicted model, not a curated record.
GGCUAGCGCUCAGGUGGUGGCAGGAUCCACUUGCUCCGGUGCCUCCCGCGCCGGGCCCCACGCUGCGCCCCAGCCCCAGCGCCAGCAUGGGCGGCGCCCGGGCCCUGGGCUGGGUGGUGGCGGGCCUGGUCCUCGGGGCCGGCGCCUGCUACUGCAUUUAUAAGCUGACGCGGGGCCAGCGGCAAGGCGGCCGUGGGCUUUGGCUGCGCCCCUCGCGCUCCGCAGAAGACUUAACCAAUAUGAUGAUGUCCUAAACGUUGACCAGCUCCAGAAACUCCUCUACCUGCUUGAGUCAAUUGAUGAUCCUGUAAUUACUGAAAGACCUUUGGUCACUCUGGGUAACAAUGCAGCCUUUUCAGCCUACCAAGUCAUUAUUCGUGAAUUGGGUGGUAUUCCAAUCAUUGGAGGCAAAAUCAAUAAUCCCAACCACAGUAUUAAAGAGAAAGCUCUAAAUGCAUUGAAUAACCUGAGUGUGAAUGUUGACAAUCAAGUCAAGAUAAAGGCUUACAUCAGUCAAGUCUGCAAGGAUGUCCUCUCUGGGCCCCUAGACUCUGCUGUACAGCUGGCUGGGCUGAGAUUGUUGACCAACAUGACAGUUACCAAUGACCACCAGCACAUGCUUAGCAAGUACAUCACAGACCUGUUCCACGUGCUGCUUACAGGGAAUGGAAGUACCAAGGUUCAAGUUUUGAAACUGCUUGUGAAUUUGUCUAAAAAUCCAGCCAUGGCAGACGGACUACUUGGUGCCCAAGUGGACUCCUCAUUCCUUUCCCUUUAUGACAGCCACGUGGCAAAGGAGAUUCUUCUUCGAGUUCUUACACUCUCUCAGAAUAUAAAUAACUGCCUCGAAAAAGAAGGCUGUUUAGCUAUUCAGCCUACUUUCCCUAAAGGUUCCCUGUUUUUCCUGUUAUAUGGAGAAGAAUGUGCCCAGAAAAUGAGAGCUUUAGCUGAACACCAUGAUGCAGAUGUGAAGGAAAAGGUAACAGUCCUACCCAAGUUCUGAUUGGUCCCGGU